ACAGAGGUCCCAAGCGUUGUUCGGAUUCACUGGGCGUAAAGGGUGCGUAGGCGGUCGGGUAAGUCUGAUGUGAAAUCUCCAAGCUCAACUUGGAAAUGGCAUCGGAUACUAUCCGGCUGGAGGAAUGGAGGGGAGACUGGAAUUCUCGGUGUAGCAGUGAAAUGCGUAGAUAUCGAGAGGAACACCAGUGGCGAAGGCGAGUCUCUGGACAUUUCCUGACGCUGAGGCACGAAAGCCAGGGGAGCAAACGGGA
This 253-nucleotide ribosomal RNA is filed under the name uncultured prokaryote. RNAcentral's name for it is "partial 16S ribosomal RNA". It matches the Rfam family "Bacterial small subunit ribosomal RNA", at positions 525 to 777 of the family's 1533-position model. The record is from RNAcentral.